GUUAGGAAUAUUGGACAAUGGGCGCAAGCCUGAUCCAGCCAUGCCGCGUGAGUGAUGAAGGCCUUCGGGUUGUAAAGCUCUUUAGCCGAUGAUUAUAAUGACUGUAGUCGGAAAAUAAGCCCCGGCUAACUUCGUGCCAGCAGCCGCGGUAAUACGAAGGGGGCGAGCGUUAUUCGGAAUCACUGGGCGUAAAGCGUGCGUAGGCGGCUUUGCAAGUUGGGAGUGAAAGCCCAGGGCUCAACCCUGGAAUUGCUCUCAAAACUACAAGACUUGAAUUCGGGAGAGGAUAGCGGAAUUGUCAGUGUAGCAGUGAAAUGCGUAGAUAUUGACAGGAACACCAGUGGCGUAAGCGGCUAUCUGGACCGACAUUGACGCUGAGGCACGAAAGCGUGGGGAUCAAACAGGAUUAGAUACCCUUGUAGUCC
Molecule: ribosomal RNA, 425 nt
Filed under: uncultured bacterium
Lineage: Bacteria
Description: partial 16S ribosomal RNA
Rfam family: Bacterial small subunit ribosomal RNA
Source: RNAcentral